UACGUAGGGUGCGAGCGUUAAUCGGAAUUACUGGGCGUAAAGCGUGCGCAGACGGUUAUGUAAGUCGGAUGUGAAAGCCCCGGGCUCAACCUGGGAAUUGCAUUCGAGGCUGCAUAGCUAGGAUGCGGAAGAGGGAAGUGGAAUUUCCGGUGUAGCGGUGAAAUGCGUAGAUAUCGGAAGGAACAUCAGUGGCGAAAGCGACUUCCUGGUCCAGCAUCGACGUUCAGGCACGAAAGCGUGGGGAGCAAACAGG
This 253-nucleotide ribosomal RNA is filed under the name uncultured bacterium. Its description in RNAcentral is "partial 16S ribosomal RNA". It matches the Rfam family "Bacterial small subunit ribosomal RNA", at positions 524 to 776 of the family's 1533-position model. The record is from RNAcentral.